This 478-nucleotide ribosomal RNA is filed under the name uncultured bacterium. Its description in RNAcentral is "partial 16S ribosomal RNA". It matches the Rfam family "Bacterial small subunit ribosomal RNA", at positions 29 to 523 of the family's 1533-position model. The record is from RNAcentral.
AGUGAACGCUGGCGGCGUGCUUAACACAUACAAGUCGAACGAUGAUGCUCUAGCUUGCUAGAGCGGAUUAGUGGCGCACGGGUGAGUAAUGUAUAGCUAAUGUGCCCCUUAGAGGGGGAUAACAGUUGGAAACGACUGCUAAUGCCCCAUACUCCUUCUUCCUAUAAGGGAAGUUGGUAAAGUUUUUUCGCUAAGGGAUCGGGCUAUCUGGUAUCAGCUUGUUGGUGAGGUAAUGGCUCACCAAGGCUAUGACGCCUAUCUGGUCUGAGAGGAUGAUGAGACACACUGGAACUGAGACACGGUCCAGACUCCUACGGGAGGCAGCAGUGGGGAAUAUUACACAAUGGAGGAAACUCUGAUGUAGCAACGCCGCGUGGAGGAUGACACAUUUCGGUGCGUAAACUCCUUUUAUGUGAGAAGAUAAUGACGGUAUCACAUGAAUAAGCACCGGCUAACUCCGUGCCAGCAGCCGCCGUAA